GCUCCGUUGGAGUAGCGGAUAUCUCACCUGGCCCUCAACCAGGAGAUUGCCGGUUCGACCCCGGCACGGAGCA
This 73-nucleotide transfer RNA is filed under the name Trebonia kvetii. Lineage: Bacteria; Bacillati; Actinomycetota; Actinomycetes; Streptosporangiales; Treboniaceae. The record is from Rfam by way of RNAcentral.